RNAcentral lists this small RNA (125 nucleotides) under Marmota monax (woodchuck). The record is from RNAcentral. Lineage: Eukaryota; Metazoa; Chordata; Mammalia; Rodentia; Sciuridae.
GCUGGGCCAGGUGGCGUAUGCCUGUAAUCCAUAUGGCUCAGGAGGGUGAGGCAGGAGGAUCACAAGUUCAAAGCCAGCCUUAGCACUGUGAGGCUGCUAAGCAACUCAGUGAGACCCUGUCUCUA